AGCCGCUGACGCAAGGCACGGUGCAGGCUGAGUCAGCGAAGCUGAACCUGCCUACGGGUUCGGAGCAGCGAGGCGUUCCCGCGGCCGCGGCAUAGACACCGAUCACAGGCGGACCUAGGAUAUUAGGGUGGAGCUUCCUGGGUCAAAUGCUGCUGCCUCCAUUGUGAUCUCGGAGCCUAGGCUGAGCAGCUCCUGUUCCCUGGUGGGAUCAGGGCUGGGGAGUGACUGUGAGUAAAGCUUCCUCUGUGCUCAGCCAAGGCUGCAGUGUAACAUCCUAUCCUUUUGGAGGACAGGGAAGGGAAAUGGCUGCCGUGGAGCCAGUGCAGGAGCCGGUGACCUUCGAGGAGGUGGCUGUGUAUUUCACCAAGGAAGAGU
Molecule: long non-coding RNA, 375 nt
Organism: Mauremys mutica (yellowpond turtle)
Lineage: Eukaryota; Metazoa; Chordata; Testudines; Geoemydidae
Exons: 4
Source: RefSeq, a predicted model, not a curated record